GUACGGCCAAAGGGUAUAUACCAGUCUACAAGACUACUCUGAAUCUGGCUUUGGGCUUUUCCUUUAAAAAUCUGACAUUCAAAAGCAGUGAGGCAAAAUAGUCUCCGUUCAACUUGAUGACUCAGCAAGGGCAACUUUCAUCACCACUUUCAUCACCACGUACGAGCUGGACACUCAGAUCUGGAAAGAGAUUUCAGUUACAAGUUCACUAGGCAUGCUCCAAAGAUACGAGGCUGUGCCUUGCAUAAUGUUUUUGCAACCUGGAGGGACAGAGGAGAGAAGGACUUGGCUCAGAAAGGCUUGGGGCAGACUCUUAUUUGUCCACUGAGGGAGAAAAACAGAGAGAGAAUGAGUGACACUGGAACAUCGGCACUGGAUGAAUCGAAGGCAACUGGACCAGUAAUUUAUUACAAAGACAGGUGCUGGAGACAGCAGAGAAGAAGCAAACAAGAAAGCAAGAAAGCAAGAUGGAGAGAUGGACAUGCUUAACUACAAGAUACAAUUUGCCUGGACUACAAUUUAUUUGCACACCAGAUGUCUGUAUGGUUCAGGCUGACAGCACUGCAAAGGGUGGGAAGUUUAACGCUGCCCAGAGCCAAAUAAAAGGGAAAUAAAUAAAACAAAAACAAGACUGACUUUACAGUGUAUUUCCUCUCAACCCGCUUCACCAGUAAAACCUGGGUCUUUCCAGUGAGCAACACACCAUACACUAACACUUUCCCCUGCAAACGUGUGUUUGGAGUCUUCCUCCCAGCUUGAUCAGACCAACUAAAAAACUGAUUCUAAUUCAGUAGGCCGAGGGAGUUGUAAAAUGCACCUCUCUAAUUAGUGUAUCAGUUUGAGAGUGAAGGACUUGAGUGAAGAAAUGUAAUGAUGUCAGUUCUAUGAUAUUUGAAUAGGCUUAUUUGCAUUCCUCACCUUAUAUAUUUUUUUCUUUUUCUACCCAUCUUCCUUUCUUCACCUCUCUCCCUUCCCCAGCUAUCACUGUUUCUUUCUUGCUUCUUGCCAAGUCCAUCACAUACCUGGGGUCAACUAGACAGUUCUGCAGAUGGGUUGACAAUACUACAAAACAGUCAAUAUGAGAUGUUCCUGUCUGGCGUACAGAUGGGAGACUCAUAAACACUUGAUACACCCAGUCCCCCAUUACUGGUUUAACAGUUUUUUAUUGGAAAGCCAAAAACUUCCCCAGGCAGUGCAAGUAGUUGCCAUAUGUUCAGAAUACUAAUAGAGCCUCUAAAAAUUCACGUGUUUUUAUGCUAGAAGAAAAAGUGAGAUUCUUUUCUUCCUCGUAUGCUUUCAGUGGUUGAGAAACAAUUCAACUAUAUGGGCUGUUCUGUGGGUAUUGGCAGGCUUUGCCAAUUGGAUGUGUGUGGGUGUGAAUGAUGCUUUUUGUCUUAAGUCAUUCAUAUUGAUUGCAUUCAGAACAUUCUGCGUCAGUAUCUUCUGGCCCUGAUGAUACCUCAUCACAACUCCUCAGAGGCACCACCACUUAAUAUGCCUGAGUCAGAGCACAGACUAAGCGGUGGAAAAAGGCUACUUCGUACCUCCAGAGUUUUGCUCAGCCCUGCACAGAGCAAUGGACUUAUUUGAAGCUUGACUGUCUUCAAAUGAGAGAUAAUUAGGAGCCUCCUUUUCCCAGUAUGAUUCCAAGUGUGAGCUUAGGGCAUCUACCUCUGCAUAAAGAGAAAAUCACAGGGCAAUUCUUCCAUGUGUGGGGCCUAAAAGUGUUCUAAUAUCCCACUGGAAUAAUCAAUCUUCUUUAAUUCCUUUGGCUAACCAGAAAUGGAGACCGUCAAACAACUACAGGUGCUUUAGGGAGCAGGGAACAUGAUAAAAUAACCCUUAAUCUUUAUUUUUUCAUUAAG
This is a long non-coding RNA of Gallus gallus (chicken), 1865 nucleotides long. NCBI's taxonomy places the organism in Eukaryota, Metazoa, Chordata, Aves, Galliformes, Phasianidae. The record is from Ensembl.